RNAcentral lists this long non-coding RNA (1139 nucleotides) under Homo sapiens (human). Its description in RNAcentral is "HSALNT0394879". Lineage: Eukaryota; Metazoa; Chordata; Mammalia; Primates; Hominidae. The record is from RNAcentral.
AACAUUUUACUUAGGCAGGAAGCACUGAAGAGAAGAAUCUUUUUUUCAGUAGACAUUUGUGGGAAAUAAAAAUUUGUUUAGAAGAAUUUAGGCCAAGAGAUAAAAUGGUCUUCUUUUGACUGAGGAGAGAUAAGAUAGAUUUUAAGCAGACAUCUGAAGUUAAAGGAGUUGUGUUUUCCUGAUUCUUCAUGGUCCAUGUAGAUGUGUUGAUGUCUGUGCAACUGAAGGAACAAUCACCUCUUCCAGUAUUUAUAGACUGCUUUUUGCAGGUCUGCAGGCCUGCCUCUGUGAGUACAGAUGGGUUUGUCUCCAGUGUGUGGGUACACCUGCCUGUGGACUGAGCUGAUCAGGGUUGAAGCUAGGUCACAGAGAUGCUUCAGGAGUUGAAGUUGGAACUGCAGUCAGCCAGCCUGUUACCCAAGAGACAAGCAGAAUACAUUAUCUUUUGUUUUAUGCUGAAGUAGAGUGCAGCAAGCAAAAAGCAGCAAAAGACACAUAAUCAAAGUACUUGGAAUGCUGACUGUAAAAUUAUGCUGAGAACUGGCUGCAUGAUAAGAUGCUUUUCCUUCCUCUUUGUUAUUUGUAUUAUUUUGUAAAGAUAGGCCAGUGUGAGUAUGUCCAAAUAAGCUAAUAAUCUAUUUCCCUUAAAAUUUCAGCAAAUAUUCAAGAGAAUAAAAAUGUAAGUUAUUGUCCACACAGCUAAUGUUAAUUUUUCAUUAACAUAAUUUAAGUCUCGGUGAUAGUUUGAAAAUGUUCAUAAUGUUCAUUAUCUAAUAAAAUAGAUAAUUGUGGAAUUAUCUAACUCGUAGAAGAUUAAUUGUGGAAGAGUUGUUUGUAUAUUUGUAACUGUCUCGUUUUUAGUAAAACCAAUUUUUUUUUCUGAGUUAAAAUAUUAAACAAUGAAAAAGUAAACUCAAUAAAUGUAAUUCAGUGCCUUGCAUAAUAGAAAAAUGUUAACAAGGUAAAAGCUGUUAAAAUUGGGAUGGUUUCAAAUUUUAAUGUGAAAAUUUCUGUGAUAAUUUAAUCUGCUAAUAUAAUGUUUAACUCUAGAUCUCUUUCUUGUGACAUGGCUCGAUGCAAUUUAGGUUGCUGUCAUUAAAAUUCUACAAGCACAUCAUACAGGCCUAUCUGCAGUGUAC